GCAGACUCACUCUGUUCGGGGUCGCCUCCUCAGGCUCUGAACUUUUUCAGUCUGCUACAGAGAUGCUGCAGAAGAGCUUUAUACUGACCCUGCCCCCUAUAGGCAGAGUUACAGAGUGUUCUGCUACACCUGU
Molecule: small nucleolar RNA, 133 nt
Organism: Hemibagrus wyckioides
Lineage: Eukaryota; Metazoa; Chordata; Actinopteri; Siluriformes; Bagridae
Product: small nucleolar RNA SNORA77
Exons: 1
Source: RefSeq, a predicted model, not a curated record